Small nuclear RNA from Artibeus jamaicensis (Jamaican fruit-eating bat), 164 nucleotides. RefSeq annotates it as U1 spliceosomal RNA. NCBI's taxonomy places the organism in Eukaryota, Metazoa, Chordata, Mammalia, Chiroptera, Phyllostomidae. The transcript has a single exon. The record is from RefSeq and is a predicted model, not a curated record.
UUACUUACCUGGCAGGGGAGAUACCACGAUCAUGAAGAAGGUUUUCCCAGGACGAGACUUACCCAUUGCAUUCUGGGUGUGCUGACCCCUGUGAUUUUCCCAAAUGUGGGAAACUUGACUGCAUAAUUUGGGGAAGUGGGGGACCGUGUUCUUACUCUCCCCUA